Molecule: ribosomal RNA, 963 nt
Filed under: Triticum aestivum (bread wheat)
Lineage: Eukaryota; Viridiplantae; Streptophyta; Magnoliopsida; Poales; Poaceae
Description: partial small subunit ribosomal RNA
Source: RNAcentral
AUGAACAUUGCUCUUCUAUCCCGUUGGCUCUGGCGCAUCGCGCAAGGGCAAGGUGGUAUCUGGCUCGACAUCAUCCGGAACAAGUACCUGCGUGGGCAACCGCUUGCCUUCUGUCAACAAUCUGGCGGCUCCCAAUUCUGGCAGUCUGUCAUCCAGUUGCUCCCGGUUCUUCGCAUCGGGACCUCCAUCUCGAUCGGCUCCAGGGCUGUGACUCUGUUCUGGUUUGACCAUUGGGCCGGAGACACCCCCUUCGCCGCACGCUUCCCCGACCUCUUCUCCAUUGCAGUGGACCCCAGGAUCUCCGUCGAGAGUGCCCUUAUUGACUUAGGGCACCUCGCUUUCCGACGACCAUUUGGGCCUCCAGAUCUUGUGGCUUGGCACGAAUUGCUUGAUUGCAUUGCCCUCCAUGAGCCUGAUGUGGACUUCGUGUCUGACCAUGUAGCUUGGCGCCUGGAUCCGUCAGGAAUCUUCUCCACCAAGUCCCUUUACCAGGCCAUUGCCCCCUCCACCACACCUCUUCCUCUUACGGCGGAAUGGUCCAUUCGCCUACCUCUGAAGAUUAGGAUCUUCAUGUGUCAAUGGAUUCGUGGCUGGACCCCGUCCGGCGUGGAGGUCCCUAAGCGCAAUGGUCCGGGUAAUGGACUUUGCCCUCUUGGUGGCGUUCUGGAAGACUCGAAUCACAUUUUCUUCUCCUGCGUGUCCGCCCAAUUCCUUUGGAGUUGCUUUCGGGAGGCGGUUGGCGGCCUUUGGUGCCACACCAAUUUCCCCGACAUGUUCGCUGAACUUCAGCCCCCCCUGCGCACUCUUCACAUUAGGUGGCUGGAGAUUGGGGUCCUCGCCUGGACUCUGUGGAUGGUCCAUAAUAGACUUGUGAUUCAGCGCAUUCCGCUCCGACGUGCUACUAACGCUCUCCUCAAUCUGUCUAGUUACUUGCAGCUUUGGCGGCCGCUUAGCCGCCCCUAG